UUUUUUAAUCCAAAAAAUAUAGAAAUAAAGUGUUUCUGAAAAUGUCAUUUUUAUCAUUUUUCUGCAUGAACUGCAUUUUGUCAUGCUUUCUCCAAAUCUGAAAUAAAAAAUAUAUGUCACCGUGCUGGAUUCUAUGAUAAACGCGAUUUAUCCUAAAAAUUGCGUCCCCCCUUUGUAACCUCAACGUUAGCGCUAAAGUGCACGACGUCGCUGGCAGACUUUGUCGACGUAAUCGUUGCAAAUUACCGGCGACAUUUUUCAGAUGUAUAAAUAUUGCUUGUAAAGAGCUAACUAAAAAUUGGUAAUAUUGUUUUCGGAAAUAAAAUCAUGUGAAUCAUAAAUACAUCUCUUUGUUUGUGGUCUAAGUGAGAAACAUCCCAAGAAAAGUGAUUACGGACUGUUGAUAAUUUUUACGGCUUUUAAAAUUAAAGACUCGGCAAUUUAAAACUUGACAUACAGGUUACAUGUACUGUACACACUCGUGCAUUAAUUUAUGUAUUAAUUUAUAGCAUAUGUUGACCUCUAGAUGUUGUUUUUUUGUUUUUGUUUUGUUUUGUUUGGUUGGCUGCUAUUUCAUUACAAUACUCCUUUAAAUCCUUCUAUUCACGUUUUAAUCACUUUUUAGAAUUUCACAUUUAUUCAUAAAAUUAAACUUUUAUUCUAGUCAAUGAUUACAAUUGAAUAAAAUUGGGAGGCUCCUAAAUAUUAUAAAGUUCACAGUUUUUAUAGUUGACUAUGCGGUAUGGGCAUUGCUCAUUGUUGAAGACCGUACGGUGACCUAUAGUUGUUAAUUUCUGUGGCAUGUUUGUCUCUUGUUGAGAGUUGUCUCAUUGGAAAUUAUACCAUAUCUUCUUUUUUAUGUUGUCAGAAAACAAAAACAAAAUCUUAUCAAGGAAUAUGCUAAAGGAUGCUUUUGUCCAGAGAGAGAAACUAGACCAUAUUUUGAAAUUUUUGGAUUUCGCAAAAACGAUUGAAUUAAUAGCGAGAGGACAUAUUACCUAUGCGUAAUUUCAUUGGUAAAUAACUAUAUAUAUUUUCACCAAAGCGCGACGCAUUGCGGGGUACAUAAAAUAUUGCACGUUCAUUCCUCUGUCUGUCCUUUCGGUCCUUAUGGUUAAUUAGAUUUUUCAAGUGUACAAUUCUUGCCAAAUUUCUAUAAAACUGAUAUCGUAUGGACACGUUCGAAAAUCAGUGCAUAUCAACUAUUCUUUAAAAGAGUUAUGC
RNAcentral lists this long non-coding RNA (1224 nucleotides) under Mytilus galloprovincialis (Mediterranean mussel). The record is from RNAcentral. Lineage: Eukaryota; Metazoa; Mollusca; Bivalvia; Mytilida; Mytilidae.